Molecule: transfer RNA, 49 nt
Filed under: Riccardia longispica
Lineage: Eukaryota; Viridiplantae; Streptophyta; Jungermanniopsida; Metzgeriales; Aneuraceae
Description: partial tRNA-Leu
Source: RNAcentral
GAAAAUUCGUUGGCUUCAUAGACCGUGAGGGUUCAAGUCCCUCUACCCC